This 31-nucleotide non-coding RNA is filed under the name Mus musculus (house mouse). Lineage: Eukaryota; Metazoa; Chordata; Mammalia; Rodentia; Muridae. The record is from RNAcentral.
UUAGAGUUUUCCUAUGGAGCAAUCCGGUGUU